UAUUAUUAUUAUUAUUAUUGUUUUUGUAAAGUUGUUUAUGUUAAUCAUUAUUUAGUUUUUGUAUAUGUUUUUGAUUUAAUAUUUUUUAUUAUAGUUUAUUAGUACUGUAAAGGAAUUAUUUGGUUUAUUUGUUUUAAUUGAUAUAAGUUUAUUUUGUUGAUUGUACCUUGUGUAUCAGGUUUUAUUUAUAGUUUUUUAUUUAUUUUAUUUAUUCUCGAUUUUAUAGGAGUUAAGUAUAUAUAUAUAUAUAUAUUUAUUUAUUUAUUUAAUGUUUUAUAAUUAUUUUCUAUAUAUAUUUAGUAAUGAGAUGUUAUUCGUUUUUAAAGGUAUCUGGUUUCUUAAGAAAUGAAUUUAAUUCAUACAUUUAUUUUAAUCUUGUUUUUUAUAAGUUUGAUUUUAGUUUGUGUAAAUAUUAAUAGGGAUAAGCUUAUUAAUUUAUUUUCUAUAUAUAUAUAUUACUUAUUUAUAUUUUAUUGAUUUAGAGGUGAUUAUUGAUUUGAGAAUGUAAUAAUUUUGUUUUUAAUUAGUUUUUAUUUUUAUUUUUGUUAGUUUAUUUAUUGAGGAGUUUUGUUUAAUUUUUUUUUGAUUUUUAUUAUUUUGUAAUUAGUAAAUUUUUAUUUGUUGUAUGUUUAUUAAUUUAAAUUAACUAGGCAAAUAUUAUUUUCGAUUGUUUAUCAAAAACAUUUUUUCUUGUUUUUAUUUGAGAUAUAACCUGCCCAAUGAUUUAUAUUUGAAUGGCCGCGGUAAUUUGACCGUGCAAAGGUAGCAUAAUCAUUAGUCUUUUAAUUGAGGACUAGAAUGAAUGGUUGAACGUGAAAUAUACUGUGUUUAUUUUAUUUUUAUUGAAUUUGAUUAUUGAGUUAAAAGGCUUUAAUUUUUUUAUGGGACGAGAAGACCCUAUAGAGUUUAUAUACUAUUAAUUGUUUUAUUGGUUGAUUAAUUUUUUAUGCUUGAUAUUAUUUGGUUGGGGCGAUUGGAAGAUACAAAUAACUCUUUUUUAUUUUUGAUAUUUAUUUAUAUUUUGUUGAUCCAUAUUUUAUGAUUAUAAGACUAAAUUACCUUAGGGAUAACAGCGUUAUUUUUUUUGAGAGUUCUUAUCGACAAUAAGGAUUGCGACCUCGAUGUUGGAUUAAGAUUAAUUUUGGGUGUAGAGUUUCAUUUGAUUAAGUCUGUUCGACUUUUAAAAUCUUACAUGAUCUGAGUUCAAACCGGUGUAAACCAGGUUGGUUUCUAUCUAUAAUUUAUAAAAUAUUUUAGUACGAAAGGACCAGAUAUUUUAAAUAAUUUAUUUUGUAUUUAUUUAUAUUUAUACUUUUGAUUUAGU
Molecule: ribosomal RNA, 1324 nt
Filed under: Balta dissecta
Lineage: Eukaryota; Metazoa; Arthropoda; Insecta; Blattodea; Pseudophyllodromiidae
Description: 16S ribosomal RNA
Rfam family: Archaeal large subunit ribosomal RNA (bases 1066-1225)
Source: RNAcentral